UAGUGGCGAACGGGUGAGUAACACGUGGGCAAUCUGCCCUGCACUCUGGGACAAGCCCUGGAAACGGGGUCUAAUACCGGAUNGUGAGCCGGGACCGCAUGGUUCUGGUUGUAAAGCUCCGGCGGUGCAGGAUGAGCCCGCGGCCUAUCAGCUUGUUGGUGAGGUAAUGGCUCACCAAGGCGACGACGGGUAGCCGGCCUGAGAGGGCGACCGGCCACACUGGGACUGAGACAAGGCCCAGACUCCUACGGGAGGCAGCAGUGGGGAAUAUUGCACAAUGGGCGAAAGCCUGAUGCAGCGACGCCGCGUGAGGGAUGACGGCCUUCGGGUUGUAAACCUCUUUCAGCAGGGAAGAAGCGAAAGUGACGGUACCUGCAGAAGAAGCGCCGGCUAACUACGUGCCAGCAGCCGCGGUAAUACGUAGGGCGCAAGCGUUGUCCGGAAUUAUUGGGCGUAAAGAGCUCGUAGGCGGCUUGUCACGUCGAUUGUGAAAGCCCGGGGCUUAACUCCGGGUCUGCAGUCGAUACGGGCUAGCUAGAGUGUGGUAGGGGAGAUCGGAAUUCCU
RNAcentral lists this ribosomal RNA (565 nucleotides) under Streptomyces sp. 343F02. RNAcentral describes it as "bacterial SSU rRNA". It matches the Rfam family "Bacterial small subunit ribosomal RNA", at positions 93 to 671 of the family's 1533-position model. The record is from RNAcentral. Lineage: Bacteria; Bacillati; Actinomycetota; Actinomycetes; Kitasatosporales; Streptomycetaceae.